This 1493-nucleotide ribosomal RNA is filed under the name uncultured rumen bacterium. Its description in RNAcentral is "bacterial SSU rRNA". It matches the Rfam family "Bacterial small subunit ribosomal RNA". The record is from RNAcentral.
AGAGUUUGAUCCUGGCUCAGGAUGAACGCUAGCUACAGGCUUAACACAUGCAAGUCGAGGGGCAGCAUGAAGGUAGCUUGCUACCUUUGAUGGCGACCGGCGCACGGGUGAGUAACGCGUAUCCAACCUGCCCGCUACUCGGGUAUAGCCCAGUGAAAACUGGAUUAAUCCCCGAUGGCAUCUUACGCUGACAUCAAAGUAAGAUUAAAGGUUACGGUAGCGGAUGGGGAUGCGUCCGAUUAGCUAUGUUGGCGGGGUAACGGCCCACCAAGGCGACGAUCGGUAGGGGUUCUGAGAGGAAGGUCCCCCACAUUGGAACUGAGACACGGUCCAAACUCCUACGGGAGGCAGCAGUGAGGAAUAUUGGUCAAUGGACGAGAGUCUGAACCAGCCAAGUAGCGUGCAGGAUGACGGCCCUAUGGGUUGUAAACUGCUUUUAUCAGGGAAUAAAGUGCGGCACGUGUGCCGUUUUGUAUGUACCUGACGAAUAAGGACCGGCUAAUUCCGUGCCAGCAGCCGCGGUAAUACGGAAGGUCCGGGCGUUAUCCGGAUUUAUUGGGUUUAAAGGGAGCGUAGGCCGGAUAUUAAGCGUGUUGUGAAAUGCAGGUGCUCAACGUCUGCACUGCAGCGCGAACUGGUAUCCUUGAGUGCGCUGGAAGUCGGCGGAAUUCGUCGUGUAGCGGUGAAAUGCUUAGAUAUGACGAAGAACUCCGAUUGCGAAGGCAGCUGACUGUAGCGUUACUGACGCUGAAGCUCGAAGGUGCGGGUAUCGAACAGGAUUAGAUACCCUGGUAGUCCGCACGGUAAACGAUGGAUGCUCGGUGUUCGCCCAAUUGAGGGUGAGUGACUUAGGGAAACCGUUAAGCAUCCCACCUGGGGAGUACGCCGGCAACGGUGAAACUCAAAGGAAUUGACGGGGGCCCGCACAAGCGGAGGAACAUGUGGUUUAAUUCGAUGAUACGCGAGGAACCUUACCCGGGCUCGAACGGCAUGUGAAGAGAUCCAGAGAUGGUGACGCCCUUCGGGGCACAUGUCGAGGUGCUGCAUGGUUGUCGUCAGCUCGUGCCGUGAGGUGUCGGCUCAAGUGCCAUAACGAGCGCAACCCUUGCCGUCAGUUGCCAUCAGGUAAAGCUGGGGACUCUGGCGGGACUGCCACCGCAAGGUGUGAGGAGGGGGGGGAUGACGUCAAAUCAGCACGGCCCUUACGUCCGGGGCGACACACGUGUUACAAUGGGGGGUACAGAAUGUUGCUUACGGGUGACCGUCGGCCAAUCAUUAAAUCCCCUCUCAGUUCGGACUGGAGUCUGCAACCCGACUCCACGAAGCUGGAUUCGCUAGUAAUCGCGCAUCAGCCAUGGCGCGGUGAAUACGUUCCCGGGCCUUGUACACACCGCCCGUCAAGCCAUGAAAGCCGGGGGCGCCUGAAGUCCGUUACCGCAAGGAUCGGCCUAGGGCGAAACUGGUAAUUGGGGCUAAGUCGUAACAAGGUAGCC